AUUCCAGCUCCAAUAGCGUAUAUUAAAGUCGCUGCAGUUAAAAAGCUCGUAGUUGGAUUUGUGGCGCGGCCGUCCGGCGGGGCUCUUUCAUUAGGGCCGUUUGUCCGGUUUUUCGGCCGCUCCAUUCUCGGGUAGCGUGUCGCUGGCAUUAGGUUGUCGGCUUCUUCGCGCCCGUCGGUUACUGUGAAAAAAUUAGAGUGUUCAAAGCAGGCUUAGGCCGUUGGAUACAUUAGCAUGGAAUAAUGAGAUAGGGCCACGACGGUCUAUUUUGUUGGUUUGCACGUUGUGGUAAUGAUUAACAGGAACGGUUGGGGGUAUUCGUAUUCAAUUGUCUGAGGUGAAAUUCUUGGAUUUAUGGAAGACGAACUACUGCGAAAGCAUUUACCAAGGAUGUUUUCAUUA
This 402-nucleotide ribosomal RNA is filed under the name Phaeophyceae sp. Its description in RNAcentral is "partial small subunit ribosomal RNA". It matches the Rfam family "Eukaryotic small subunit ribosomal RNA", at positions 582 to 975 of the family's 1831-position model. Lineage: Eukaryota; Phaeophyceae. The record is from RNAcentral.